RNAcentral lists this ribosomal RNA (468 nucleotides) under uncultured bacterium. Its description in RNAcentral is "partial 16S ribosomal RNA". It matches the Rfam family "Bacterial small subunit ribosomal RNA", at positions 28 to 507 of the family's 1533-position model. The record is from RNAcentral.
GACGAGCGCUGGCGGCGUGCUUAACACAUGCAAGUCGAACGGAAAGGCCCUGCUUUUGUGGGGCGCUCGAGUGGCGAACGGGUGAGUAACACGUGAGUAACCUGCCCUUGACUUUGGGAUAACUUCAGGAAACUGGGGCUAAUACCGGAUAGGAGCUCCUGCUGCAUGGUGGGGGUUGGAAAGUUUCGGCGGUUGGGGAUGGACUCGCGGCUUAUCAGCUUGUUGGUGGGGUAGUGGCUUACCAAGGCUUUGACGGGUAGCCGGCCUGAGAGGGUGACCGGCCACAUUGGGACUGAGAUACGGCCCAGACUCCUACGGGAGGCAGCAGUGGGGAAUAUUGCACAAUGGGCGGAAGCCUGAUGCAGCAACGCCGCGUGCGGGAUGACGGCCUUCGGGUUGUAAACCGCUUUCGCCUGUGACGAAGCGUGAGUGACGGUAAUGGGUAAAGAAGCACCGGCUAACUACGUG